AUGUUCACUGUUAUAUUCAUGUGUCUGUGGCUUUCACUAGGUGACUCCAUGGCAGAUUCAAUACAGCCACUUUCCCCUCGUGAAGUUGUAGAUGAAGGUGAUAAUGUUACUCUGUCCUGCAGCUACAGUGGUACAGUAAGAAACCUGCAGUGGUACAGACAAUAUCAAAAAUCUAAACCCGAGUUUCUUCUUUAUGUUCAUGAAAGUGGAGAUAUGAGUCCAGAUCUCCCCCCAAGAAUGUCUGCUAAAGUUACUGGAGAUAACCGAGUGGAUCUGCUCAUCUCCUCUGCUGCUGUAUCAGACUCUGCACUAUACUACUGUGCUCUG
This is a non-coding RNA of Pangasianodon hypophthalmus (striped catfish), 327 nucleotides long. The record is from the annotation of a RefSeq genome assembly. NCBI's taxonomy places the organism in Eukaryota, Metazoa, Chordata, Actinopteri, Siluriformes, Pangasiidae.